CGGAAGGGAAGGAUGGGGGACAGACGAACGAGGAAGAGAGAGAUGAGAAGGAAAAGGAGGGUUGAAGAAGGGGUUGUCCCGACUCCAGAUCUAUUGCUCUGACCACUGGGAUACCUAGCUGCCCCCUUGGGGAGAUUUUUAUGGUGACUUGGGAUGACAGCAGCAGAGGGAACUCCCGGAGAGGAAACUCUUCACCAAUGCAAAUGACUGCUCUAUAGCUGGGAAUUCGUACUGCAGUCACCGCGCAGAGGCCCAGAGCCACCAAGUAUGUAUGUGUGUGUGUGUCUCAUGCCUAUCAAGCUAGCUAGCCCUGAUUCAUGAACCGGGGCCUCAAGUAUGGAACACCUGGCUUCAAGGGCCACCUCCCUGCCUUCCUCGGGCAAGUCCUGUCCUUCCUCGGUUUCCUCCACUGUAACAGGAGGGAUUGGAUUUCUAUCAGCCGAAGAGGCCCCUUCCUGCUCCUCUCGAAGACUCCAUCCACCAAGUACUUCCAAAGCGCGUUCCACUGACUCCCCCUCGGGAAUGGGGAGUCUUUCAGUUGAGACAAUCAACUCCACUUGGCAGAUGAAGAAAUUGAAGUGCAGAGCAGGAAAAUGACUUGCCCAGGGUCACUCUGGGGUGAGCCUCAGUUGAGGACGCGCGGGGUCCGGAGACGGGGGGCGGGGUCUGCCCGAACCCCCGCCCCCAACCAACUCCGCCCCCCACCUUCCAGGACAACAGGUGUCUGAGAACCGGGCUUGGAGGGGGGGCGCAUGCUCCGCGGGGGAGGGGUGGAGAGACCCCGGGCUGUCACCGCCUCCUAGCGCGCGGCCCCAAGGGCCCAGGCCUCGCUGUCAGCGCGCCCCGCCCCCCCGCCUCCGGCUCCGCCCCCCUGCUCCGGCCCCAACUCCAGCAGAAGCCAGAGUCGGAGCCCGGACCCCAAGCAGGCAGCGGCGGCGGCACGCGGGACUGGGCACCGAUGGAAACCUCCUCCCUCCGGGGCUCGGUUCAGCUCCUCUGGGAGGGCCUCCUCCGGGAUAAGAAACAUGCCACCUGUCCAAAUCCAGAAAGUGAACUGUUUGGAGAAGACAGCACAAAGAUGCCUACACAGACAAUAGGAUGCACCAGAAGAUCCACAGUGAACUUUGGGAUUUUGUUGUUUGAACUAUGUGGAGUUGAAUGCAUUUGUGUGGUAUAUAUACUCUUAUGCUGAAGGGGACUGCUCCCUAACUGACUUUUUGUCAAUUUGCCUAGCAAUCAUUGGUUUUGUUCUCUUUUCCUUUUAUCCCCAAAUUACCAUUGGAGAGACUAGUCUUCCAUGGAUCUCAGGGGUGAAUGAAUAAUUGAAAAUCUGUUACCCUAAAAAAGAACUAUAUUUUCCAGGAACCCACUGACUUCCUGUCAUUAUGUACUUCCUUGUAGACAGGGGAUAUUAGGUGGGGACAUGGAGGAUCCCACCCUCUUUGGCUAGCAGCAAGCAUGGUGGCAGUGGUGAGUAAGGUUUGAACUGGUGAUCAAACAUAGGGAUGUGGUCUUUAUUUGUAUCCCUUUUAUUCCUUUAUUUCUAAUGAUCUUUAAUAAAUCUCCUGAAAUAUAUUUUUAUUAUUGACA
Molecule: long non-coding RNA, 1590 nt
Organism: Monodelphis domestica (gray short-tailed opossum)
Lineage: Eukaryota; Metazoa; Chordata; Mammalia; Didelphimorphia; Didelphidae
Source: Ensembl